CAGUGGGGAAUAUUGCACAAUGGGCGGAAGCCUGAUGCAGCAACGCCGCGUGAGGGAUGACGGCCUUCGGGUUGUAAACCUCUUUUAGCAGGGAAGAAGCGAGAGUGACGGUACCUGCAGAAAAAGCGCCGGCUAACUACGUGCCAGCAGCCGCGGUAAUACGUAGGGCGCAAGCGUUAUCCGGAAUUAUUGGGCGUAAAGAGCUCGUAGGCGGUUUGUCGCGUCUGCUGUGAAAUCCCGAGGCUCAACCUCGGGCCUGCAGUGGGUACGGGCAGACUAGAGUGCGGUAGGGGAGAUUGGAAUUCCUGGUGUAGCGGUGGAAUGCGCAGAUAUCAGGAGGAACACCGAUGGCGA
Molecule: ribosomal RNA, 354 nt
Filed under: bacterium LimC-1-A-226
Lineage: Bacteria
Also listed under: 1 other name
Description: bacterial SSU rRNA
Rfam family: Bacterial small subunit ribosomal RNA
Source: RNAcentral